AUACGGAGGGUGCAAGCGUUACUCGGAAUCACUGGGCGUAAAGCUCGCGCAGGCGGCUAUUUAAGUUGGAUGUGAAAGCCUAUGGCUCAACCAUAGAACUGCAUCCAAAACUAUUUAGCUAGAGUGUGGGAGAGGAAGAUGGAAUUAGUUGUGUAGGGGUAAAAUCCGUAGAGAUAACUAGGAAUACCAAAAGCGAAGGCAAUCUUCUGGAACACUACUGACGCUGAGGCGCGAAAGCGUGGGGAGCAAACAGGAUUAGAUACCCUAGUAGUCC
This 274-nucleotide ribosomal RNA is filed under the name uncultured bacterium. Its description in RNAcentral is "partial 16S ribosomal RNA". It matches the Rfam family "Bacterial small subunit ribosomal RNA", at positions 523 to 796 of the family's 1533-position model. The record is from RNAcentral.